RNAcentral lists this ribosomal RNA (244 nucleotides) under Iwogumoa xinhuiensis. RNAcentral's name for it is "partial 12S ribosomal RNA". Lineage: Eukaryota; Metazoa; Arthropoda; Arachnida; Araneae; Agelenidae. The record is from RNAcentral.
CAGGUUAANUUUNNNUUCNNNNUAAAAUUUAUAUACCUCCAUCUUAAGAAUCAAUUUCAAAAUAUUUCUCCAAAUAACUAAUAAAAAGUUAGGUCAAGGUGUAAUCCAUAUAAAAGAAUAAGAUGAAUUACAUUAAAAAUAAUUUAAAGAUUAUUAAUAAUUUAUUAAUACAAAUUUGAAUUUAAAAGUAAUACUAAAAUAAUAAUCUUAUAUGAUAAAGAUAAUAAAUGUGUACACAUCGCCC